UGCCAGCCGCCGCGGUAAGACUGAAGGUGCAAGCGUUACUCGGAAUCACUGGGCGUAAAGCGUCCGCAGCCGUUUUUGUUAGUCUGGCGUAAAAGCACGAAGCUCAACUCCGUGUACGUGCCGGAAACUGCAAAAAUUGAGUUAUUCAGAGGCAUCUGGAAUGUCAUGUGGAGGGGUAAAAUCCGUUGAUCCAUGAUAGAACGCCAAAAGCGAAGGCAGGAUGCUGGGAAUAUACUGACGGUCAGGGACGAAAGCGUAGGUAGCGAACGGGAUUAGAUA
This 279-nucleotide ribosomal RNA is filed under the name uncultured bacterium. RNAcentral's name for it is "partial 16S ribosomal RNA". It matches the Rfam family "Bacterial small subunit ribosomal RNA", at positions 506 to 784 of the family's 1533-position model. The record is from RNAcentral.